This 253-nucleotide ribosomal RNA is filed under the name uncultured bacterium. RNAcentral describes it as "partial 16S ribosomal RNA". It matches the Rfam family "Bacterial small subunit ribosomal RNA", at positions 524 to 776 of the family's 1533-position model. The record is from RNAcentral.
UACGAAGGGUGCAAGCGUUGUUCGGAAUUAUUGGGCGUAAAGGGUUCGUAGGCGGGAGUUUAAGUCAAAUGUGAAAUACCUGAGCUUAACUUGGGACGUGCAUUUGAGACUGGAUUUCUUGAGUAUCGGAGAGGGUGGUGGAAUUGCUGGUGUAGGAGUGACAUCCGUAGAGAUCAGCAGGAACAUCGGAGGCGAAAGCGACCGCCUGGCCGAGUACUGACGCUGAGGAACGAAAGCGUGGGGAGCAAACAGG